GUUAGUAACGCGUGAGAAUCUAGCUUCAGGUCGGGGACAACCCCUGGAAACGGUGGCUAAUACCGGAUGUGCCGAAAGGUGAAAGAUUUAUUGCCUGAAGAUGAGCUCGCGUCUGAUUAGCUAGUUGGUGUGGUAAGAGCGCACCAAGGCGACGAUCAGUAGCUGGUCUGAGAGGAUGAUCAGCCACACUGGGACUGAGACACGGCCCAGACUCCUACGGGAGGCAGCAGUGGGGAAUNUUCCGCAAUGGGCGAAAGCCUGACGGAGCAAUACCGCGUGAGGGAGGAAGGCUCUUGGGUUGUAAACCUCUUUUCUCAGGGAAUAAAAAAAUGAAGGUACCUGAGGAAUAAGCAUCGGCUAACUCCGUGCCAGCAGCCGCGGUAAUACCGAGGAUGCAAGCGUUAUCCGGAAUGAUUGGGCGUAAAGC
Molecule: ribosomal RNA, 427 nt
Filed under: Anabaena sp. HSSASE11
Lineage: Bacteria; Bacillati; Cyanobacteriota; Cyanophyceae; Nostocales; Nostocaceae
Description: bacterial SSU rRNA
Rfam family: Bacterial small subunit ribosomal RNA
Source: RNAcentral